This 305-nucleotide long non-coding RNA is filed under the name Gossypium barbadense (sea-island cotton). RNAcentral's name for it is "long non-coding RNA (GBAR_LNC018009)". Lineage: Eukaryota; Viridiplantae; Streptophyta; Magnoliopsida; Malvales; Malvaceae. The record is from RNAcentral.
GAAGGGACACUACGGUGUUCGAGCAUCAAGGUGAAAUGUGUAGUAGGUCCUUCGAGGUGACACUGUGAUGAAAAUUAUUAGAUUCCAUAGAGCAACGCCGCGACAAUGGUCAGUAGGCUCUAUGGUGCGACACCUCAAAAGAGGUCUGAUGUCUAAGACCAUAGCUUGGCUAUAACAACCAGUACAAUCUACCAGGAUAGUAAAGACGAGGUAUUUUGUCGGGACAUUCAAAAUGGAGUGAAAGGGUGUAAGACCAUAGCUCAACUAUGACAACUAGUACAGUCCGCUGGAACAGUAAACAUGGG